AGAACGAACGCUGGCGGCAGGCUUAACACAUGCAAGUCGAACGCGUGUAGCAAUACACGAGUGGCGCACGGGUGAGUAACGCGUGGAUAUCUGCCUUUUGGUUCGGAAUAACCCCGGGAAACUGGGGCUAAUACCGGAUGGUUCCUACGGGAUAAAGAUUUAUCGCCAAAAGAUGAGUCCGCGUACGAUUAGCUUGUUGGUGAGGUAACGGCUCACCAAGGCGACGAUCGGUAGCUGGUCUGAGAGGAUGACCAGCCUCACUGGGACUGAGACACGGCCCAGACUCCUACGGGAGGCAGCAGUGGGGAAUAUUGGACAAUGGGCGCAAGCCUGAUCCAGCCAUGCCGCGUGGGUGAUGAAGGCCCUAGGGUUGUAAAGCCCUUUCGGCGGGGAAGAUAAUGACGGUACCCGCAGAAGAGCCCCGGCUAACUUCGUGCCAGCAGCCGC
Molecule: ribosomal RNA, 447 nt
Filed under: uncultured bacterium
Lineage: Bacteria
Description: SSU rRNA
Rfam family: Bacterial small subunit ribosomal RNA
Source: RNAcentral